GAUGAACGCUAGCUACAGGCUUAACACAUGCAAGUCGAGGGGUAACAAGAGGAAAGCUUGCUUUUCUUGUUGACGACCGGCGCACGGGUGAGUAACGCGUAUCCAACCUGCCUAUAACUAGGGAAUAGCCUUGCGAAAGUAAGACUAAUACCCUAUGAUUUCCUUUGAUGACAUCAGAUUAGGAAUAAAGAUUUAUCGGUUAUAAAUGGGGAUGCGUCUGAUUAGCUUGUUGGCGGGGUAACGGCCCACCAAGGCAACGAUCAGUAGGGGUUCUGAGAGGAAGGUCCCCCACAUUGGAACUGAGACACGGUCCAAACUCCUACGGGAGGCAGCAGUGAGGAAUAUUGGUCAAUGGGCGGAAGCCUGAACCAGCCAAGUAGCAUGCAGGAUGACGGCCCUAUGGGUUGUAAACUGCUUUUAUACAGGAAUAAAGUUAGCCACGUGUGGUUAUUUGUAGGUACUGUAUGAAUAAGGACCGGCUAAUUCCGUGCCAGCCGCCGCCGUAA
Molecule: ribosomal RNA, 506 nt
Filed under: uncultured bacterium
Lineage: Bacteria
Description: partial 16S ribosomal RNA
Rfam family: Bacterial small subunit ribosomal RNA
Source: RNAcentral